RNAcentral lists this ribosomal RNA (935 nucleotides) under uncultured archaeon. Its description in RNAcentral is "bacterial SSU rRNA". It matches the Rfam family "Archaeal small subunit ribosomal RNA", at positions 1 to 923 of the family's 1478-position model. The record is from RNAcentral.
UCCGGUUGAUCCUGCCGGACCCGACUGCUAUUUGGGUGAGGAUAAGCCAUGCGAGUUGAAUGGGAUACCUAAAGUUCCCAUGGCAAACUGCUCAGUAACACAUGAUCAACUUACCCUAUAGAGAAAAAUAACCUCGGGAAACUGAGGAUAAUGUUUCAUAGUUGAAUUGGCUUGGAAAAGUUUUUCGACGAAAGGGGUAAAAAAAAUGGUUUUUAUCUGCUAUAGGAUAGGAUCGUGUUCGAUUAUGGUUGUUGGUGAGGUAAUGGCUCACCAAGCCGAUAAUCGAUAGGGGCCGUGAGAGCGGGAGCCCCGAGAUGGGUGCUGAGACAACGACCCAGGCCUUACGAGGCGCAGCAGGCGCGAAACCUCCGCAAUACACGAAAGUGUGACGGGGUUACCCAAAGUGUUCAAUUUUGAACUGUGGUAGGUGAGUAAUGUUCCCUACUAGAAAGGAGAGGGCAAGGCUGGUGCCAGCCGCCGCGGUAAAACCAGCUCUUCAAGUGGUCGGGAUAAUUAUUGGGCUUAAAGUGUCCGUAGCCGGUUUAGUAAGUUCCUGGUAAAAUCGGGUAGCUUAACUAUCUAUAUGCUAGGAAUACUACUAUACUAGAGGGCGGGAGAGGUCUGAGGUACUGCAGGGGUAGGGGUGAAAUCUUAUAAUCCUUGUUGGACCACCAGUGGCGAAGGCGUCAGACUGGAACGCGCCUGACGGUGAGGGACGAAAGCCAGGGGAGCGAACCGGAUUAGAUACCCGGGUAGUCCUGGCCGUAAACGAUGCAUACUAGGUGAUGGCACGGCCAUGAGCCGUGUCAGUGCCGUAGGGAAACCGUUAAGUGUGCCGCCUGGGAAGUACGGUCGCAAGGCUAGAACUUAAAGGAAUUGGCGGGGGAGCACCACAAGGGGUGAAGCCUGCGGUUCAAUUGGAGUCAACGCCGGAA